GCAAAGUCCAAACCACCCGUGUUUUUCUAAUAUCAUUUCAAAUAAUUAAACCUUGUCCAAAACGACAUACUAUAGAGAUAGAAAAUGCCUCCUCCGAAUGGAACUACAAUUCUUUUCCUCCUACCGAGCUUUAAUUUUAAUGGUUAAAAACUUGACAGUAAGGACCACGAUCUCUACAAACUGAAAAAAAAAAUCAGCAGGAAAUACAACAUAGUCCAAUCCAAAGGGUGUAAAGUAAACUACAGGGUGAACAUGAAAAGCUAACAGUCUGAACUCUGGUAUUUUUUUUCCAGACAGUUAGCAAUCUACU
Molecule: long non-coding RNA, 310 nt
Filed under: Brachypodium distachyon (stiff brome)
Lineage: Eukaryota; Viridiplantae; Streptophyta; Magnoliopsida; Poales; Poaceae
Description: long non-coding RNA (BDIS_LNC004129)
Source: RNAcentral